This is a long non-coding RNA of Xiphophorus couchianus (Monterrey platyfish), 778 nucleotides long. RefSeq lists it as uncharacterized. Lineage: Eukaryota; Metazoa; Chordata; Actinopteri; Cyprinodontiformes; Poeciliidae. The record is from RefSeq and is a predicted model, not a curated record. The transcript has 3 exons.
AACCCAGGGUAAAAACUGCCUUAGUCCCACCUUUGCUACUUCAUUGGUUAGAGUGACAGUCAGUCACACAGUGCAAUCAGCCAAUCACUGCACCUGAAGUAGGUUUUUCAGGCCUGCUCCAGCUUUCCCAAUCAGCUGUGAGAGGGAGAGCUGGAGACAAAGGAGCUGCAGAUCUGAAUAUCCAGUGAGCUUGGAGCCAUGAAGCUGCCAUGCACUGAUCUUUAAAAGGAAUUGGCCAGGUGAUUUCCCCUUUUUGGGGUUAAAGGAUGGCGAGCUUCUAAGAUCUGGCUGGAGCCAGGAGAACCGAAUUUCACUCCAUACUGGUCUGGUAGGAGUUUGAUGGUCCAUGAACUUUCCCCUCCUUCUCAUUACACAGACACACUACCCAUUAUUCACCCUUUUCAUCAGAGCUGAAUUGCGCUUGGACAUUUCCCUUAAAGUUUCUGGAUAAACAAACUAUGGACUUUUAAAUGUGUGUCGGUCAGACGCUGUGUUGACCAAGUGGGGAAAAGUGAAGGACUCUGUGCACAUUAGAACAUCAACUGCAGUAUUGUGUAUAUAUUUAUUGUAUUUUGGUUUCCAUGUAUGUUUUGUAUUGUUUAUUUAAUUUUCUUCUUUAAAAAAAAUACAUAGUAUUGAAACAGUUACUCUCUUGUAUUGUUUUAUUGAUUUCUGACGACAGCUCCAGCAGACGAAUUUAGUUUUCUGAUGUCAGAAGCUAUCUAGUCCUUCAGUGCAUUAAGUACUGCUACAUUAUAAACAUCAAAUAGUGCUACAG